ACCGAGCAUGCGCCGCCUCGCUCGCUCGGGCGCACGGGCUGGCGUGCGGCUGCGCUUUAAUCGUCGCCCUGGAGACCUCCGCGUCGCCGGCGCGCGGCUGCUGCUUACGCUGCUGGCAGAGGAAAGGGAAGGAAGGGAGGAGAGAGGCCUGGCACCGGCUUUCGUAUUUUAGCUACAAAGGGACUGAGAGUCGUAGAGAUCGAGUCGCACCGCCAAGACUUCAUGCUUGAUUCACCUCUGAGUCUGGCUUCAAAAAACAGGCACCAGUCUUCCGGCUCCACUCCGGACACCGUUUCCUGUGCCCAUUCUGUCCCUGGAUUACGGAGGCCGACGUGUCCAUAAAUUACUGCAAUGGAAAGGAGCUUUCCAGAGGGUCAAAAAAAAAAAGAAGAAAGAGGCUGAGGUUCGCGUAAUGAUCACAGAACCGCUCCUUCCACGCCAGCGAGUCUGCCGUUCGCUGAGUUUCCCUGCCAGGUUCGACCUUCCUGCGUCAUGCUCGGUUCUGCACACAAAUGUCCACACCAGAGACCUGGAGCGUCACAGAAAGCCACUUGGUUGGUUGGAGCUCCGCGAGGAACACGCUGCGUUCCCUGAAAUCUUGGUUCCAAGUGUGUUUUCACAUUUAGAUGACUCACAGAGACUCUGUUGGCACAUUAUCCACUCAGCACGAAAGAUGGGCUGGACGAGUAAGAAAAAAUAAUGAAUUUCAACAUGUGUGCAGGGGUAAGAUGGCUGCUUACUGUCUGUCACACCCUCCACCUCAUUCCAGCUCCAUCUGCUGGGGCCACUCAGUAGGUGGGAGGGACCUGGAGGGACGGUAUCAUACUGGCACACUGAAAUGUAAGAUUUUUUUUUUGCAACGUGCAUUCAUUGCCGCUUAUAUGUGUCGCUGCUGGGGGUCAUGUAACUGAAUGAGGACUGGCCACAGGGGCAGAGAAGGAGCAGGAUGCGAUCUGCUAGAGUGGAUGACAGGACUAAACUCGAUUCGGGAAACCGCACUGAACGCGCUACCACGCAAAUCCAGACCUUAAAGUGCAGAACGUUCUGGAGAGGCAGCAAACAAUGAAAAGUCAA
Pteropus alecto (black flying fox) is the source of this 1074-nucleotide long non-coding RNA. RefSeq lists it as uncharacterized. The record is from RefSeq and is a predicted model, not a curated record. The transcript has 4 exons. Lineage: Eukaryota; Metazoa; Chordata; Mammalia; Chiroptera; Pteropodidae.